GACUUUGGAGCACAUAACACAUCCGCAAUUGAGAGCACCAGCAUUUUGCAGCUGAAAAACAACAGAAGCAAUAAAGAGGUUUCGUGAGAGCAAGCAGUUGUAUUUCUCUGUCUCUCUCAACUUCAGAACACAUUUUUCUUCUACACACAUUGCAGUUGAAGUCCAUAUCCAAAAUUCAAAUUCCUUCAUAACAAUAUCGUCAAAGGUCGAUCGAUUGAUCAAUUUUUUUUCAAAAGAAAAAAAUAAGGUAAGAACCUUCAAAAAUGGCGAACCUUCCACAGAUCGCGGUUCUGGGAGCUGGAAUAUUUGUAAAGACCCAAUACAUCCCGAGACUCGCCGAGAUCUCCCAUCUCCUCUCCCUCAAAUAUAUCUGGAGCCGUUCGGAGGAAUCUUCGAGAGCAGCUGUUGAGUUAGCGAAGCAGCAUUUUCCUGGAGUGGAAUGUAAAUGGGGAGACCAAGGUCUAAACGACAUCAUCCAGGAUGCUUCUCUUAUCGGUACUGCUGUCGUUUUGGCUGGCCAAGUUCAGGUAGAUAUGUCACUGAAGUUGCUAAAAGCAGGGAAGCAUGUCAUUCAAGAGAAACCUGCAGCAACUGGUAUACCUGAGAUAGAAACUGCACUUGCUAGUUACAAGUCCAUUUGUACCAAACCUGGUCAACCAAUUUGGGCUGUAGCAGAAAACUAUCGCUUUGAACCUGCUUUUGUAGAGAGCAAGAAACUAGUGGCUGGUGCUGGAGAUAUGAUGAACGUCCAAGUUAUUAUUGAAGGGUCAAUGAACAGUUCAAACCCUUAUUUUUCUAGCUCUUGGAGGCGGAAUUUUGAGGGAGGUUUUAUUUUGGAUAUGGGAGUGCAUUACAUUGCUGGUUUGAGGAUGACGGUUGGUUGUGAGGUGGCUUCAGUUUCGGCUAUAACCUCUCAUGUAGAUAAAUCAUUACCUGCCCCAGACAUUAUUUCUUCUAACUUUAAGCUGGAGAACGGAUGCUCUGGAGUUUUUGUGAUGAUUGUUUCCUCUAGUUCACCUAAGAUAAUUUGGCGAGUUGUUGGGUCGAAAGGAACAGUACAAGUUGAACGAGGCAAAAUAGAUGGAAAGCAUGGUUACAUGACCACACUAUACAGUGCAGAUGGGCAAUGCAAAAGCACAUUCCACCCGUUUUGUGGAGUAAACGAAGAAUUAAAAGCUUUUAUACACGACAUUGAGCAAGCAUGCCUCGAGAAGGAAAAUGGCUAUGAAGCUGAACCUCGCAGCUCUUUCGUGGAAGGUGCCAGGGACGUUGCAGUUUUGGAGGCAAUGCUCGAAUCCGGAUCCAAGGGGGGAACCUUGGUUAAUGUGAAGAAAUUUUAGGAUUGCGCAUGGCCAUGGAUCUCUGUUUACCAGCAAGUGUUAUCAAUAAGAAUUUAUAUGAAUAGGAUUUGAAAUACAAUGACCAAAAUGUUUAUUCA
Hibiscus syriacus is the source of this 1438-nucleotide RNA transcript. RefSeq lists it as uncharacterized. The record is from RefSeq and is a predicted model, not a curated record. The transcript is spliced from 13 exons. NCBI's taxonomy places the organism in Eukaryota, Viridiplantae, Streptophyta, Magnoliopsida, Malvales, Malvaceae.